UACUGUUGCUGGAAACCAGCACGGGCGUCGAGGAAACUCUACGCCCGUGCACGCAUGUUAAGGGUAGGAAAAAAGAG
Molecule: small RNA, 77 nt
Organism: Yersinia pestis CO92
Lineage: Bacteria; Pseudomonadati; Pseudomonadota; Gammaproteobacteria; Enterobacterales; Yersiniaceae
Rfam family: tpke11
About the family: In Yersinia located in ICR upstream dnaJ (chaperone)gene.
Source: Rfam